UUGUCAGCGAUUUGGAUUUGUUCUGGAAGUGACAGAGAUUUUUCAGAAGAGAUGGGCUAACAGGCAAAGUGCUCGGGUCCUCUCAGACAGAGUGGAAGCAGAACCUCUGGAGGAGCAAUGAUGACACUUGCGUCCCAGGCCCAGAAGUUCCAACACUUGUGUCUUGCAAUAUAUUUAAGACGAAAAGAGACCAGAAGGUCAGUAAUAGCUGACACAAUUCUUCUUUCAUUAUCCUGUGCUGUGACAUUCUUAGCUAUGCAACACUGACCGAACCCUGAGAGUGAAAAUAUCAGUGCGCAGAU
Molecule: long non-coding RNA, 302 nt
Organism: Erpetoichthys calabaricus (reedfish)
Lineage: Eukaryota; Metazoa; Chordata; Cladistia; Polypteriformes; Polypteridae
Exons: 3
Source: RefSeq, a predicted model, not a curated record